This 253-nucleotide ribosomal RNA is filed under the name uncultured bacterium. RNAcentral's name for it is "partial 16S ribosomal RNA". It matches the Rfam family "Bacterial small subunit ribosomal RNA", at positions 524 to 776 of the family's 1533-position model. The record is from RNAcentral.
UACGAAGGGGGCUAGCGUUGCUCGGAAUUACUGGGCGUAAAGCGCACGUAGGCGGAUUCUUAAGUCAGGGGUGAAAUCCUGGAGCUCAACUCCAGAACUGCCUUUGAUACUGAGGGUCUUGAGUUCGGGAGAGGUGAGUGGAACUGCGAGUGUAGAGGUGAAAUUCGUAGAUAUUCGCAAGAACACCAGUGGCGAAGGCGGCUCACUGGCCCGAUACUGACGCUGAGGUGCGAAAGCGUGGGGAGCAAACAGG